This 501-nucleotide ribosomal RNA is filed under the name uncultured bacterium. RNAcentral describes it as "bacterial SSU rRNA". It matches the Rfam family "Bacterial small subunit ribosomal RNA", at positions 791 to 1300 of the family's 1533-position model. The record is from RNAcentral.
UAGUCCACGCCCUAAACGAUGCUAACUCGAUGUUUGGUAUUUAUAUUGAGCAUCCAAGCGAAAGCGUUAAGUUAGCCACCUGGGGAGUACGUUCGCAAGAAUGAAACUCAAAGGAAUUGACGGGGGCCCGCACAAGCGGUGGAGCAUGUGGUUUAAUUCGAUGCAACGCGAAGAACCUUACCUACCCUUGACAUUGACAGAUUCUGAAAGGAAUUUUCUCUUCGGAGCAGAUAGCAAGGUGCUGCAUGGUUGUCGUCAGCUCGUGCCGUGAGGUGUUGGGUUAAGUCCCGCAACGAGCGCAACCCCUAUGAAUAGUUGCCAGCAUGUAAUGAUGGGGACUCUAUUCAGACUGCCUACGUAAGUAGCGAGGAAGCGGGGAUGACGUCAAAUCAUCAUGGCCUUUAUGCCUAGGGCGACACACGUGCUACAAUGGCCGGUACAGAGGGCAGCCAACCCGCGAGGGGGAGCCGAAUCCCAGAAAGCCGGUCCCAGUUCGAAGUU